Long non-coding RNA from Bombina bombina (fire-bellied toad), 280 nucleotides. RefSeq lists it as uncharacterized. The transcript has 3 exons. The record is from RefSeq and is a predicted model, not a curated record. Lineage: Eukaryota; Metazoa; Chordata; Amphibia; Anura; Bombinatoridae.
AGAUUUAUUCAGGAGUGAUGACAAAAUGACCACAGCAACUUGACCACUAAAGCAUUUGCCACCAGAGGCUUGAGGGGCAACUAAACGGAAGGUCUUGAUGACUCAUUCAACUGAGGUUCACUGCUGACAGCUUUUUGGGCAUCCUCUCCCCCUUCUGGGCUAAAUGGAUUAGUCUCAAUGGGAAUAUUAGGGGUCACAGAGGCAUCUGCUGAAGCAGUGUCUUCACCAUUUCUGGAAAGCUGUGGUGACUCAGAUUUUCCCCACUUUAUGGGCUCCAAUC